UACGUAGGGGGCAAGCGUUGUCCGGAUUUAUUGGGCGUAAAGAGCGUGUAGGCGGCCAUACAGGUCCGUUGUGAAAACUCGAGGCUCAACCUCGAGACGUCGAUGGAAACCGUAUGGCUAGAGUCCGGAAGAGGAGAGUGGAAUUCCUGGUGUAGCGGUGAAAUGCGCAGAUAUCAGGAAGAACACCCGUGGCGAAGGCGGCUAUCUGGACGACUGUUGACGCUGAGGUGCGAAAGCGUGGGGAGCAAACAGG
RNAcentral lists this ribosomal RNA (253 nucleotides) under uncultured bacterium. Its description in RNAcentral is "partial 16S ribosomal RNA". It matches the Rfam family "Bacterial small subunit ribosomal RNA", at positions 524 to 776 of the family's 1533-position model. The record is from RNAcentral.